GUGCUGUGUUCGGUAACAGGAGUCACCUGGUAUGAAGGAUAUGGAUUUGGGAGAAAUGAUCUUAUCAGACAACUUGACCUGAUAAACCAAAUGGAGAUAGACAGAAAAGACUAAUUCUCAUUUGUGUGAUUUUGAAGGGCUGCCUUAAGUCUGGUACCACCAAUCAAAACACAAAUUGGGAGAUUGAAUAACACAGCACUUCCAUUUAGAAAGGCACCUGAGAUAGCAGAGAAUAAAAUGAAACUAAAAAAUUCUUCUUCUCAAGAAGCUUCAUCCUAAUAGAGAUGGACAGUUAAUGAAGAAUGAAUAGAUUUUGUGCUGAGAACUCUCCCACAUCGUGCUGCUAGACACAGAUUCCAUGACUAAAUAACAGAGGACUUUUGCGUUUGUGCAAGUUCUCCCCUGCAGAAGACAAUAAUGAUAUAGGCAUUUAAACAAAGAGGCUUGGAUUGAGAAGAAAACUAUCAACUACUGAAAUUGUCUAAGAGGAAGGAAAAAGGAAUUCAGAAGCUUAUGGAUGAAGAAGGUAUCUU
Molecule: long non-coding RNA, 533 nt
Organism: Prionailurus viverrinus (fishing cat)
Lineage: Eukaryota; Metazoa; Chordata; Mammalia; Carnivora; Felidae
Exons: 5
Source: RefSeq, a predicted model, not a curated record